Non-coding RNA from Schizosaccharomyces pombe (fission yeast), 219 nucleotides. The record is from the annotation of a GenBank genome assembly. NCBI's taxonomy places the organism in Eukaryota, Fungi, Ascomycota, Schizosaccharomycetes, Schizosaccharomycetales, Schizosaccharomycetaceae.
UGUAGUACGGGUGUAUAUGCAUGCAUGUAUGUAUAACAAAAUGUUUCAAGCUGUGAGACUAUAAAGCGUGCAAGAAAAGGGAGCACAAAGAUCGCCAAAUAUUAUAUGCAAAACAGUAAAUGAAGGACUAAUGCAAAUGAGUAUUUUUUAUGGAAAUUAAACGAGCAAACAGAGAUUCGACAGUAGCCAGCAAAGCUCAAAAGAUAGCAAUAGCUAAUU